Molecule: RNA transcript, 3474 nt
Organism: Rhododendron vialii
Lineage: Eukaryota; Viridiplantae; Streptophyta; Magnoliopsida; Ericales; Ericaceae
Gene name: F-box/kelch-repeat protein At3g06240-like
Exons: 2
Source: RefSeq, a predicted model, not a curated record
GGAUAAAACGUUGGAGCGAAAUAAAAGAAGAAAAUCGAUAAGCAAGUUCUCUCUUUGAGCUCGCGAUGAAGACAGAGAUGCCGAACCUUCCCGAAGAAAUCAUCGUCGACGUACUCUCGAGACUACCUGUCGUCUCCCUCUGCAGAUUCAGGUGCGUUUCGAAACCAUGGCGCUCUCUAAUCUCCCACCCUAGUUUCAUCAAAACACACCUCAAUCGCAACACCGACAAAAACACCAACAAGUACGAGCGUGUCGUUCUCAGCGAUCAUCGAAAUUGGUACACCGUGGAACUCGAUUCAUCUCAAUUCAGGCACCAUUCAGUGGCAGUGCGCCUGAAUUUCCCACAGGGUCAAAACCCUAGAUAUUGUGAGGAGAUUUGUUAUUCGUGUGAUGGCUUGGUGUUGAUGCUCGAUCGAAGGUUCCAUUGUUGCUUGGUGAACCCGUCUACUCGAGAAUCUAGAAAAUUGCCGUUUUCUCCUUUUACGUCUAAGCCAGGUUUCACUGAUUAUGGGUUUGGUUACGACUCAUCCAUUGAUGACUACAAGGUUGUAAAUAUUUGUUAUUAUGAUGGAGAAGCUGACGCUGGGUGCGCUGAUAAUGUAGUCAGUGUGUAUGCCUUAAAGACCAAUUCCUGGAGAAGGAUUGAGAACUCUCCUUAUGAUCAUUCAUGCUUUGGACAUCAUUCAGGGGCUUUUGUUUGUGGUGCACUCCACUGGGUAGCUAGCAAUGGUACAGACGAUGUUAUAGUUGCACUCGUUUUAGAAGAUGAAAAAUUUCAGACUGUGCCAUCUCCAACUCCGGAUUGUAUUGGUGACCUACUUUGUGUUCUUGGAGGUUGCCUUUGUGUGUUUGUUUCUCAGUUUGAUCCUUACUGUCUAGAUGUUUGGGUGAUGAAAGAGUAUGGGGUGAAAGAUUCAUGGAUGAAAUUUACAGUCACUUGUGAUAAUAUUUAUGAUUCUUGGAGGCCUUUGAGUUUAUCUCGGAUCGGUCAAGUUUUACUUAAUGCACAAGGAAAAAACUUAGUUCUCUUUGAUCCACGGGAGGAAGAAUCCAAGGAGCUAGUGGUUCAGGGCCUUCCAACUCAAUUUGAAGUAGGAACUUAUGUGGAAAGCCUCGUUUCACCCAAGAGGCAAUGCUAAUAAUCACCUAGUUAGGUACUAUGUAUGUACUUCACCGUAUUUUCCAUUGCGUAUGUGUUUCAUUGCUGCACUGUUACCUCUUCUAGUCUUCUUCAUUAUGAUUGUUACAAUGAUGCUACUUUUGUGUAGUGUUGCCUGUAUAUUUCGUCUUAAAAUUUUUGUUCAAAAAAACUACACAUUAGACAAUUGUACGGUUGAAAUAAUUUUAAGUAUUUUCUGUUUGUUUUCGGCAAUACUUAUGUUUUUGGUCGGAUUGUGCGGGUGGAUUCUCAUAUCAUUCUUCAUUUGAAGCAAAAGAAAGACCAGACGUAGGUAAAGUAAUGUUUGUCGAUGAUGAUUUUGUGAAAUUAUGUACCUAAUUUUACACAAGCCCUCAACUGGUGAAUGGUUCAGAUCAUUGUCGAAGAUCAUGUCCAAACUUUCGAGGCUUGACAGGCUAUGUCGGAAAAAAAAAAAUCAGUGAGAUUAGUGUGUAUGACAUGGGGGAUGAUGUGAUAAAAAUUAUACAAUGAUAUGAUUUUAUUAAAACUAAGCAUUUGACAGAGAGAAUAGCGAAGAGAAUUCAUCUAGCUAAUCCACUUGGUCCGGACACAAAUUGUGGUUUGAUAUGGUUUGGUUACUUAAUAGUUACUCCCCCGUCCCAAAUUGUUGGUCCUCCUUUCCUUUUUUGGAUGUCCCAAAAUAUUAGUCUCUUUGAAAAGUCAAUCUAAAAAGCUUUUAGUUUUCCAAAAUUGUCCUUAUAAAUUAGUCAUCAUUGUGUUGAAAAGAUAGAAUACAAGGGCAAUGUAGUAAAGUCAUGCCUCACAAUUUGAAUUUGGUGCAAUCAUUGCUUGUCCUCUUAAUCUCUUACUUAUCAAAAAAAAUUGCUUGUCCUCUUAAUAUUUAGCUUCCCCAAAAUGGGCAAGCAAUUUGGGACGGAGGGAGUACAGUUUUUUUAUUACCAGUCGUACAAAUUUUGCCUUAUCUAGGGUGUUUGGCAUGAUUUGAGCAUGGUAUAAUUGUUGCAGUACGGUUGCUUUCUCCCUUUCUCCCUUUAUUUCUUUGUUCAGUUAAUCACUCCAUGUAUGUUAAUUUGACUUCUCAUACAGACUCAUUUUGGGAAUUUUCUAAUGAUGGGGAUUCCACCGUGAGUUAAAUUUAUUGUCCCCUUUCAAAUCAGAAGCAUGCAUAUAAGACAUGCUAGAAAAGUUAACCCCCAUCUUCCUAAUGCUGCCAUCUCUAGUCCCUGGAACUUCAUCUGGUGGUUGCCUAUUCCCUUCAAAAUCAAAUUCUUUUAUUGCAAGUUUUGGAUGAUUGUCUUUCCUGUAUGAGUUUCUAUCUUACAAAGGUUAGGUUGGAGAACAAGGUUCUUCCUCUUUGGGGGCAUUAUGACUUGGUUUAGCUCAGAUUUAGGUCUUCCUUUACCCUAGCAUUGCUCCUCUGUUGUACUUAGGUUAGGGAAUGGCACUACAAUGCUAAUCUUCGCAGACAUUCUAGGGAGUUUAUCUUUUGAAGGUUUCAUGAGUGCUUUGGUGCAUUCGAUUAAAUAGAAACAAACUAGUUUUUUCAAGAAUUACUCCAUCUCCCAUCCACAUUAUUUAGGUGGCUUCUCAUUUUUAUUCUUAUACUUCACAUGUUUUUUCCACUGCUUUCCAACCUUUAAUGACUAGAGAAUAGGUCUGCGCAAGACCUUGCCUCUUGUCACACGUCAUCCAACACCAACAUUGCUGUAAAAUAUCUUUUCUUUUACAGAUUUGGUGGGAACCGCUGCGUCAAUGAAUCCUUUCUACUUUGGUCAUUUAUUGAGGCCAUGCUUUCAAUGUGCAUUCUACAAAAGUUGGAGGAUUAUGACACCAUUUCUGCAAUUGCAACCCUGUUGUUUGUCGACUCUGUUAGAUGGCACAAUCCCUUCACUCAUGUAUAAUUUACUCUAUGCCAUAGCAAUAUAUAUUAUCUCUCAUGCUCUAGCAAUGGCGAAGUUUGUAGCUUUAUCAGAUGACCAAGUUUGUAGCUUUAUCAGGUAUUCAUUCAGAAACAUCCAUAUCAUUCCCUUCUGGCGAUGGUUGAUGCAAGUUAUCGAGCUUGAAUUCUGUUGGCCGUUGAUUGCCGCGCAAAGUAUCUAAUCUUUGUACCGUCUUUUUCUUUCUUGUUUCAUUUUCCUUGUACUGACUAGCUUUGAUUGGGGUUGUAUUAUGAAAUACUUGCUUGUGUUUGUUCUCUUAUAAAUGAAUUUCUUUUUAUGCCAAAAAAAAUCUUCUGUUACUCUUGUUAGGCAUAUGCUGCAUUGUACUUUGUAUUACAGGUUAGAUGUAUGAAAACACUCCGUAAAAUUAUACUAAAGUAUUUAUUGAGUAAA